This 252-nucleotide ribosomal RNA is filed under the name uncultured bacterium. RNAcentral describes it as "partial 16S ribosomal RNA". It matches the Rfam family "Bacterial small subunit ribosomal RNA", at positions 524 to 776 of the family's 1533-position model. The record is from RNAcentral.
UACAGAGGCCCCAAGCGUUACUGAGAAUCACUGGGUUUAAGGGUGCGUAGGUGGUGCGUUAAGUCCGUUGUGAAAGCCCUGGGCUCAACCCAGGAACUGCUUCGGAUACUGGCGCGCUUGAGGCUAGUAGGGGUCACUGGAACUGACGGUGGAGCGGUGAAAUGCGUAGAUAUCGUCAGGAACGCCAAUGGUGAAGACAGGUGACUGGGCUAGUUCUGACACUGAGGCACGAAAGCGUGGGGAGCGAACGGG